Molecule: long non-coding RNA, 244 nt
Filed under: Ananas comosus (pineapple)
Lineage: Eukaryota; Viridiplantae; Streptophyta; Magnoliopsida; Poales; Bromeliaceae
Description: long non-coding RNA (ACOM_LNC043244)
Source: RNAcentral
CGAUAUUUUUAUAAUGUGUUUAUAUUAAAAAAAAUAGACAAAUUACAGAAAACUUUCUUAUAAAUACUUUUUUUUAUUUAUCCUUAAUAAAUUUUAAAAACCUAUAUUUUUACCUAUUUAAUAUUUCAAAUUGUUGUAUUUAGCCCCCUCCGUCAAGGUUCCAUCACAAUUUCUUAUAUUUCUUAUAAUUAUACUGAAAAUGCCUUCAAAAUGACAAGAAUAUAUUAAAAAAAUAUUUUCUUAA